This 301-nucleotide ribosomal RNA is filed under the name uncultured bacterium. RNAcentral describes it as "partial 16S ribosomal RNA". It matches the Rfam family "Bacterial small subunit ribosomal RNA", at positions 509 to 809 of the family's 1533-position model. The record is from RNAcentral.
CAGCAGCCGCGGUAAUACGUAGGUGGCAAGCGUUGUCCGGAAUUACUGGGCGUAAAGGGCUCGCAGGCGGUUUCUUAAGUCUGAUGUGAAAGCCCCCGGCUCAACCGGGGAGGGUCAUUGGAAACUGGGAAACUUGAGUGCAGAAGAGGAGAGUGGAAUUCCACGUGUAGCGGUGAAAUGCGUAGAGAUGUGGAGGAACACCAGUGGCGAAGGCGACUCUCUGGUCUGUAACUGACGCUGAGGAGCGUAAGCGUGGGGAGCGAACAGGAUUAGAUACCCCCGUAGUCCAUGUCUCUUAUAA